RNAcentral lists this ribosomal RNA (1877 nucleotides) under Clostridioides difficile. RNAcentral's name for it is "partial 23S ribosomal RNA". It matches the Rfam family "Bacterial large subunit ribosomal RNA", at positions 1 to 1911 of the family's 2925-position model. The record is from RNAcentral. Lineage: Bacteria; Bacillati; Bacillota; Clostridia; Peptostreptococcales; Peptostreptococcaceae.
GGUUAAGCUAUAAAGAGCGCAGGGUGGAUGCCUUGGCACUAAGAGCCGAUGAAAGACGUGAUAAGCUGCGAAAAGCUUCGGGGAGGAGCAAAUAUCCUUUGAUCCGGAGAUAUCUGAAUGGGGAAACCCGGCUGAGCAAACCUCAGUCACUGCAUGGUGAAUCCAUAGCCAUGCAGAGGGAACCCGGUGAACUGAAACAUCUAAGUAGCCGGAGGAAGAGAAAGAAACAUCGAUUCCCAAAGUAGCGGCGAGCGAAAUGGGAAGAGCCCAAACCAGCGUGCGUGCAUGCUGGGGUUAUGGACUGCAUACGUGAACCGAUUUGUUAGUGGAACUGUCUGGGAAGUCAGGCCAGAGAGGGUGAAAGCCCCGUACACGAAAACAAUAGGAAGCAGCAGGAUCCAGAGUACCACGAGACACGAGAAACCUUGUGGGAAGUCGGAGGGACCACCCUCCAAGGCUAAAUACUCCUUAGUGACCGAUAGCGCAUAGUACUGUGAAGGAAAGGUGAAAAGGACCCCGGGAGGGGAGUGAAAAAGAACCUGAAACCCUGUGUUUACAAGCUGUGGAAGCACGUUAAGGUGCGACCGCGUACUUUUUGUAGAACGGUCCGGCGAGUUGCCGGUACUGGCAAGGUUAAGAGCUUAAGGCUCGGAGCCGAAGGGAAACCAAGUCUCAAAUGGGCGUCAAGUCAGUACAGGCAGACCCGAAACCGGGUGACCUAUCCAUGUCCAGGUUGAAGCGGAAGUAAAAUUCCGUGGAGGACCGGAUCCACAUCCGUUGAAAAGGGUGGGAAUGAGGUGUGGAUAGGGGAGAAAUUCCAAUCGAACCCGGAGAUAGCUGGUUCUCCUCGAAAUAGCUUUAGGGCUAGCCUCAUAUUAGUUUAGCGGAGGUAGAGCACUGAAUUCCUAAGGGGGCGUCAAAGCUUACCAAGGGAUAUCAAACUCCGAAUGCCGCAUAAAUGAUGUAUGGGAGUCAGACUGCACGAGAUAAGUUGGGUAGUCAAAAGGGAAAGAGCCCAGACCUACAGCUAAGGUCCCAAAGUGUGUGUUAAGUGGAAAAGGAUGUGGGAUUUCAAAGACAACUAGGAUGUUGGCUCAGAAGCAGCCACACAUUCAAAGAGUGCGUAAUAGCUCACUAGUCGAGAGGUCCUGCGCCGAAAAUGUCCGGGGCUGAAACACAACACCGAAGCUUAGGAAUGUAUGUAAGUACAUUGGUAGAGGAGCAUUCUUAGUGCGGAGAAGCGGUACCGAUAAGGAGCCGUGGAGCGUUAAGAAGAGAGAAUGCCGGAAUGAGUAGCGAGAUGGAGGUGGGAAUCCUCCAGGCCGAAUAUCCAAGGUUUCCAGAGUAAAGCUGAUCUGCUCUGGGUAAGUCGGGGCCUAAGGCGAGGCUGAGAGGCGUAGUCGAUGGACAACAGGUUGAAAUUCCUGUACCAUGUAUCAUCAGAACUGUGGGGACACAGAAGGACAACACAUCCCGGGAAUGGGAAUACCGGGGCAAGCGAGGUAGGAGUACGGUUGGCAAAUCCGCCGUGCAAUCCGAAGACGUGACGCGCAGCGAACUAAAGUAGCGAAGUGUGUGAUUCCGGCUGUCAAGAAAAGCCGCUAUUGUGUGAUACAUGCCCGUACCGUAAACCGACACAGGUAGAUGAGGAGAGAAUCCUAAGGCCGGCGGGAGAAGCAUUGUUAAGGAACUCGGCAAAAUGACCCCGUAACUUCGGGAGAAGGGGUGCCACAGAGAUGUGGCCGCAGAGAAUAGGCUCAAGCAACUGUUUAGCAAAAACACAGGUCUAUGCAAAACCGUAAGGUGAGGUAUAUGGGCUGACGCCUGCCCGGUGCUGGAAGGUUAAGAGGAGAGGUUAGCGCAAGCGAAGCUUUGAA